AGCGAACGCUGGCGGCAGGCCUAACACAUGCAAGUCGAACGAACUCUUCGGAGUUAGUGGCGGACGGGUGAGUAUCACGUGGGAACGUGCCUUUUGGUUCGGAAUAACUCAGGGAAACUUGUGCUAAUACCGAAUGUGCCCUUCGGGGGAAAGAUUUAUCGCCAUUAGAGCGGCCCGCGUCUGAUUAGCUAGUUGGUGAGGUAACGGCUCACCAAGGCGACGAUCAGUAGCUGGUCUGAGAGGAUGACCAGCCACACUGGGACUGAGACACGGCCCAGACCCCUACGGGAGGCAGCAGUGGGGAAUCUUGCGCAAUGGGCGAAAGCCUGACGCAGCCAUGCCGCGUGAAUGAUGAAGGUCUUAGGAUUGUAAAAUUCUUUCACCGGGGACGAUAAUGACGGUACCCGGAGAAGAAGCCCCGGCUAACUUCGUG
Molecule: ribosomal RNA, 433 nt
Filed under: uncultured bacterium
Lineage: Bacteria
Description: partial 16S ribosomal RNA
Rfam family: Bacterial small subunit ribosomal RNA
Source: RNAcentral